Molecule: ribosomal RNA, 309 nt
Filed under: uncultured bacterium
Lineage: Bacteria
Description: bacterial SSU rRNA
Rfam family: Bacterial small subunit ribosomal RNA
Source: RNAcentral
GAUGAACGCUAGCGGGAGGCUUAAUACAUGCAAGUCGAACGGCAGCAUGGGACUUCGGUCCUGAUGGCGAGUGGCGCACGGGUGAGUAACGCGUACACAAUCUACCUAUAAGGCGGGGGAUAGCCACUGGAAACGGUGAAUAAUACCCCAUAGUAUUACUUUUAUGAUAUAUGAGUAAUUAAAGCUCCGGCGCUUAUAGAUGAGUGUGCGUCCGAUUAGCUAGUUGGUAAGGUAACGGCUUACCAAGGCGACGAUUGGUAGGGGGCGUGAGAGCGUGAUCCCCCACACGGGUACUGAGACACGGACCCG